Molecule: long non-coding RNA, 226 nt
Filed under: Lathyrus oleraceus (garden pea)
Lineage: Eukaryota; Viridiplantae; Streptophyta; Magnoliopsida; Fabales; Fabaceae
Description: Pisum sativum (pea) long non-coding RNA (PSAT_LNC002278)
Source: RNAcentral
UGAGUUUGAUUCAGUUAACAGAUUGCAUUCUGGUGCAAGAUGUCCUUUGGUUCUACAUAUUUCACAAUUUACAGCUAUUGCGGUUGUAGGAUUUGCAGACAUGUGUUAAACCUUCAGGGCUAAAGCGUCCAUUUUAGCUUUCAUCAUGUCCAUACAAUUGACCACAUGUAUUCCUCCUUUGGUCUCCCCUUUCUCCACUGAUGCUCGUUCUGACUCUCAUUAGUAA